ACGGAAGGCAGCAGUGGGGAAUAUUGCACAAUGGGGGAAACCCUGAUGCAGCGACGCCGCGUGAAGGAUGAAGGUCUUCGGAUCGUAAACUUUUGUCUUCAGGGACGAUAAUGACGGUACCUGAGGAGGAAGCCACGGCUAACUACGUGCCAGCAGCCGCGGUAAUACGUAGGUGGCAAGCGUUGUUCGGAUUUACUGGGUGUAAAGGGCGUGUAGGCGGGUUUUUAAGUCAGGUGUGAAAUCCCUCGGCUCAACCGAGGAACUGCACUUGAAACUGGAGAUCUUGAGUGUCGGAGAGGGAAGCGGAAUUCCUAGUGUAGCGGUGAAAUGCGUAGAUAUUAGGAGGAACACCGGUGGCGAAGGCGGCUUUCUGGACGAUAACUGACGCUGAGGCGCGAAAGCGUGGGGAGCAAACAGGAUUAGAUACCCUGGUA
Molecule: ribosomal RNA, 434 nt
Filed under: uncultured Oscillospiraceae bacterium
Lineage: Bacteria; Bacillati; Bacillota; Clostridia; Eubacteriales; Oscillospiraceae
Description: partial 16S ribosomal RNA
Rfam family: Bacterial small subunit ribosomal RNA
Source: RNAcentral